CAAGCUAAUUAACAUAUCCAUCACCUCAUAAAGUUACUUUUGUGUGUGUAUGUAUGGUGAAAAUGAUCUACUCUCAGAAAAUUUCGAGUGUACAAUAAUCAUUAACUAUAGUCACUGUGUUGUCCAUUAGGUCUCCAAAACUUUCGAGCACACUCCAAAACAUCAACUUUUAUUCUGAUUAAGCCUCAAAUAUGUCUUCAUGUUCCAGUUAAUAGCUAUUUUUAGAGUAGCUAUGAAUAACGAAGAAUACUGGCAUAAAAGAUGGAAAGAAUAAAUGAAGAUAAGGCCUCUAAGGUCUUUGGACUUUCCAGGAAGUGAUAAAAGCUGCAAUUUAAAGUAUACACGAAGAAGUCAAGGAUGGCAACUCCUAUAAACAGCUGAUACUUCAAACCUGGAAUGUCUAGUGCUAAGCAGCCUGGACUCCUGCACCCAGCACACCUCUCUUUGACGUGAUAGGAGGAUGACGUGAUAGGAGGACCCGGGUCUUCUCCUCCCAUGCUGCCCUUGGCCUUUACGUUUUUCCUUUCAUCAGUAAAGGUUCUGUCUUAAUUAUUACCCUAUGACAGGAAGUUCAUCCUAAACCUGGACAGGUGAGAGAUGGCAACUCUGAAGCAACCCCCUGGGCAUGACACCACAUGAGGCCACACCCAGAACAAAUUGCAAGAACUAACGAGGUAUUUUCUACAGAAUCCCUAAGAGAACAUGUCUGUCUGGAUGUAAGUGUCUACAGUCAUAAAUACACAGCAUACGAUUGGAUAAGAUGGAAUGAAAGCCUUUCAGUGCUUCACAGUGCCCAUCACUCUCAUUGUCCUGAAGUGGUGUUGGCAGUGGGCUCAGCAGGGUGCUGUGAGGAUGGUGAGGCUACAUGCAUACGUUGCUGACCAAGUUGGCUACACAGAUGGACUAGACUCACCCUGUGAUGGUAGACAGAGCUUACCAAUGGGGUUCCAUGAAUGGACAACAGGCAAUCUGCUGUAAUAAUCUCCUCAACCAUGAUGGAAGUCAGGCAAGACCCAGGCCAUGGGAACCUUGAAAACAGUCACCUCUAGCAUCAAGUAUUUUCUACUGUUUGCCUCACUGUGCCUACAAAUGUCAUUUAUGAUACAUUUUCAAAUUUUCAUGUUUAUUAAAAUUAUUAUCAGCCUUAUCCAAUCUGAUAUUUUGAAUGAAAUCAUAUUAAAACUAUAUAUUAAUUUAAGAACUGGUAUCUUCAUAAUAGGGAGUCUUCUAUAGGUUCCUAGACAACUAAAAUACCAUGGAUUGCCACCUUAGACUUGAAAUGGAUGAUCCUUAUUCUUCUCUCAGUCAGACCAGUGAAAGGUACAGAUUCAUGGCAGCUAGUCCAGCAAGCCUCUAAUAGUCAACUUCUAAUCGUCUCCUUUAGGACAAAAAAGAAACGAUAUGCUUAGGAAGGCCACCAUGCAACUGAGUGUAUCUGAAUCAUCCUUACAUAAUAUCAUUUCUUACUAUGUGUCCUCAACAUCCUGCUCUGCAUAUAUUUCUCCACCAUCUCCAAAAUCCUCUUAGCCCAGUGCUCCUCAAACUUUAAUGUGCAUGUAAAUUAUGACCUUGUUAAAAUGCGGAUUGUAAUCCAAUCAGUCAGGGUUGGAGCCUAAGAUUCCCUGUAUUUUGAACGAGAGUCCAAGUGAUGCCAAAGCUGCCAGUCUAUGACCACACUGAGUGGUCAAGCUCUAGAUGACACCUAUAAUAAUUACAGGGAUAAGGCCCCUCUUCUCAAAUAUCAUUUUGCACAGUUCCUGGACUAGGUCAGAUACAGACCCUACUUACCACAUAUAUCUCUGUACUACAAAUAUUAUGUAAUCAGUUUUCCUAAAUCUAGGCACCAAUAUUUUAAAAUAUAUUUUCAUGGUGUAAAUAUAAAUUAAUUUUCUAUAGUAAAUACACUAAGUACCUAAUCACAUUCAUCCAUCUUUAAUGUGAGUAGCAAAAAGCAAAGGCACUAUCUUAAUGGUUUUUGAGUGAGACUUUAGCAAAUGCUAUCUUUAUGGAGAAACCUCUGGGCUGCUUUUUAGGAUGUGAGAAAAGUGGGGUAAAGGGAGGAGAACUGGAUAAACAUGGCACAGAGACAGGGAUGGGGCAAAUAUGGGGACACCUGUCUCAAAGAAGAAGCAAAUGAUAUAGAAAAUAAAUAUCUGUUCCAUCCCUGUUCCAGACAAGCCCAUGUACCUGCAAAGUAGGAAGUUGUGUAUCACAUUGCAACAAGGAAUGAUCCUGGCCCCGGUAAAGUCAACAGUAACAGUCAUCACAGGCGAAUCUGCCUAUCAGGGAUUGGAGACUCUCUAAACUCCCACCUAUCAACCCAGGAAUCAGAGCCUGAGACAGACAGAUGCUUCAAUCUUGCAUGAGGUGGUAUUCCCGCCAUGAGUCCUGGGCUUCUCCACUGGAUGGCCCUUUGUCUCCUUGGAACAGGUCAUGGGGAUGUCAUGGUCAUCCAGAACCCAAAAUACCAGGUUACUCAGUUGGAAAAGCCAGUGACCUUGAGUUGUUCUCAGAAUCUGAACCAUAAGGUCAUGUACUGGUACCAGCAGAAGCCAAGUCAGGCCCCAAAGCUGCUGUUCCACUACUAUGACAAAGAUUUUAACAAUGAAGCAGACACCCCUGAUAACUUCCAAUCCAGGAGGCCAAACACUUCUUUCUGCUUUCUUGACAUCCGCUCACCAGGCCUGGAGGAUGCAGCUGUGUACCUUUGUGCCAGCAGCAAAGACACAGAGGUGCAGUGCUGCCUCCCCUUUGUUCAUAAACCUCAUUGUUUCCCAGAUCCAGGUGCUUUCUCUAGGACUUCACCCCCGCCACCUCUCACAACAAUAGGAAGUGGGUUUGUGACUGUCAAUAUCUCAUUUGUAGACAGAGUUGAGUACAAACCAAUAAAAACCAUUGACAGUUAUGCCAAGAAUGGAAAAGUGGUUAUACAUGCCUGACAUUCAGUUGGUGGUAUUUUCCCAGAAUUACAUUUAGAACCCGUGCUAUCCUUUUCAGAAGACGAAUAGGAAUUUUUUCUUUCUUUUUUUCAUUGUUCUAAUCUAAGUCAGAGGCUUAGAAAUAUAAGAGGUGAUAUGUGAAGAAUGAUGGAGACCCAAUGUCAUAUAAACUCAAGUCUCUGGCAUUCGAUUAAUUUUUAUAGGAUUUCAUCCUCCUGGAGAAUCCAUGUUUUUAGCCCAGACCUGGAGCAACUACCUCAUUAAUGGGAGAAUGAAAGCACAGGUGUCCCAAGAUAAAAAUCUCUCAGAGGAAAAACCACAUUGGAGAGGGAAAAAAAAAGAAGACCAUACAUUAAUCUGCUCAUAUCUGGAGCUGGAGGUACUAUUGUGACGACCAAAUGGAAAUCAUAAAUAUAUAAAGAAAUGAUGCUGAAAAUAGAGUACAUUUGGAGAUGAAGAUCAUGGAGCCAUCUGUAUAGAAGACAGUAACAAUGUCAUUAAGGUGCACAAGAGCGCCAGCAAAAGUCAAUAAGAAAAACUACAGGAGGGAAGAAGAUGGAAGAUCCUGCUCCCCUUAACGAAGAUAAACAAAAUGCUGAGUGAGAAAUAUUGCAACCUCAUAAAUUGUCACAUGGAAGUAUAUAAUUACAAAUUACUUGAUAAUUAAAAUCCCUCAAUGAGAAUGUAUUCUGAGAAAAAAAGCAGAAAAUAUAGUUAUAUGGCUAUCUAAAAUUGUAAAAUUUUGCACAUUAAAUAAAGAUAAUCUAGGAAAAACAUGACAAGAUCUAUUACAAAAGAGCUUUUACAAAUUGUUUGCUUUAAAGAUAUUAAUGAUAAUAUAAUGAUGGCUAACAUUUACUAAGCACUUAAUACAUGCUAGACCUUAAGUCUUCUUCACAUAUAUUUAUAGUUCAUGUAAGUUUUACAACAACCUCAGAAAGUUAGUACUAUUGUAACCUCACUCAUUUAUCCAUGAGGAAACUGAGACACAGACAAGUAACUAGCCCUUUAUCGUGUAUCUCGUUUGUGAUGGAGCCAGGAUCAAAAUGUAGACAAUUUAUUUCCCAGGCUCAUUCUCUCUUCAGAGUUUACAUGGAUUCUAAGUCAGACCUUCGAAUAGGAAGGUAAAUGGUUAAAACUGGAAGAUUUCCACACUCUCACCAACAUUGCUCUUGCUUUUCUUUGGGUCUUGGCCAAAGGGGUGAGCCCUGGUGACUAUGCCUCACUGGUUGACUAACACUGAGUUGUACUGAGGACCAACAUAGAGUAAGAAGGUCUUUGGGAUAAACCUGGGAGGAUGAAAGGUAAAAAAUGCAGAACUUAAAUCUUGAUCCCAAGGGAUCCUUUAAAGAUGAAUGAGUCUCCCUCAGAAGGUGAGAAAUUAAACAUAAACUCUUUAACUUGUAGAGAUGUGAGGUGUCUUCCUCAAAUAGUAAACUUUGAACCAUGGUUAUAUGCAUGGUAGGGAACCUAUGAGGGUGGAACAUGGAUGAAGAAGUGACAGGCUGUCCGGGGACAGGUGCAGGCAGAAAAUCAGCUGCCUCCAAGAGUGAUGAGAGAAGCUAUAGAGCAUCCUUUAUCCAGACUAGCCCAACAUGCAGUCCAGAAAGCUGUGAGAUACGAGGAAAGGGUCACCAUAAACUGCAAGCUGACUAUGUCAGAAAUGACACGUGGAGUCCGAGAGUGGGUACGUGUGGUGGUAUCACAGAUAUACACCCACCCUCUUCCCGCCCAACCGAGAGAGAAGAGACCUACAGGUUUAGCACUUUCACCACAGGGACUAGAACCCUGGAUUUAGCUAGAGAGGCUGGCUUAGACCUUUUCAUGCUUCUUCCGUAUGAACCAUACAAUUUGGAACCAUACUAUUUAGAGAUGAUUGAUUAAUUUAUACAACCUGCAUAAAGCCUGUCUUUCCAGAGGAAGCUCAGGUUCAAUAAAAAUAGAUUUCUCUCUUGUCCUUCUCAAUCUUCCCUCCCUCCUUCUUUCCUUUCUUCCUGCCUGUCUGGCUUCCUCAUUAAGGGUAGACAUGAACUAGCCACCUGUAUAUUCUCUGAGUUAUGCUGUUAGUGCUGACCACACAUUAGUUUAACCUAGAAAAACAAACCCUGUUUUAUUUUAUCUGAGAGUCUGAGACCCCUCUUUGAUCCUUAAAAACUUGCCAAUUUCUUGCCAAGCAAACAUGUGCAGGGUUUUAGAGAGCUGUAGGUAAUAGAGACAAAAUAGAAACACCACACAGAAUUUGGAGGCAGAGCCUUUAGAGCUCUGAAGCUUGAGGACCCGCUGCUGCUCCAAGCCUGCCUUAUAGCACCAGGUUCCUCUGCUGUGAGUCCCUUUGCCUCCUGAGGGCAGUGAGUCCUGGGCAUAGAUAGCCUGUCUGCCUUGUCCACUAACACUGUAGUCUUUUUCCACACCUUCCUCUGGUAGUCCAAUAUUCACCCCCAUUUUCCUCUCCAGCCCCUGCUCUUAUACUCUAGUCCCACAGACUCUGUGGAUACCCUGAUUACAGAGAAACAGAGGUGACACUCAGAUGUGAGUGAUGAAACUUACAAUGGUGUAAACAAGACUCAGAACUUAGACUGCCUGUUGAUGUUCAUUCUUAUGUCAUUGGUUCAGCAAAUAUGUAUUUAGGAACUCCUGUGUAACAGACAUUGUUCCAGAUUCUGGAAAUAAGGUAAUAAACAAGCCAGAUAGACUUGUUUUAAACUCCUGAAAGUUAUAAACCAAAGAGAUGUACAUGAUGCGAACAAUGCCACUCUGGAUAAGAAGGAACCUGUUACCUUAACACUGGCCAGUGCAAACCCAGUCUGGCAGACAUCUGUAUCAUCUAGACUUGUGAGGAAUCCUACAGCUGUAUAGCUCUCUGCAUUUAAGGGCAAGCCUAGACAAGACAGAACCUUACUCUCAUGAAUCCAUGCCCUAAGAAAGAGAAGAAACUUCCCUCGUAGGAACAUGGAUGCAGUCUCGCAGUUUUCUCAUCAAGUAGGAAAAUUCGAACUGCUAAAACUUUGCGCCAGAAUUUAAGACAAAUAAAUUGCCUGGGCCAUGCAUUAUUUACAAUGCAUUUAACUAUUUUCCCUAAUGUAAAUCUGUUGAUGAACUACUUCUGUGGCAUAUAAACAGGACUUAUAUUUAAACGUCAGAUGUGGUGCUUUAGAAGAUAUAUUAAAAUUAUUAGAGUCUGACUUACAUUUUUAAUAGUAAUACAAAAUAUAAAGUACCACAGCUUGCUCAGAAGAAACGGGAUUUCUGAAAUCUUCCAGAAUAGCUUUCUAAAAGCCACUAUCUUAUGGUCUUUAGUGGGCUAAAAUACUUAUAAUGAUGGAUUGGAAAAAUGGAUGUUUGAGUGCAUAAGGUUCACAAGUUUAAGAAAGAACUGGUAACUCCUAGCUAUAGAUUGUCGGUUUCAGAGGAUGAGAAUGAAUGUGUCCUCAUCCUCAUUUUAAUUUUGAAAGACAAUGCAGAUAUCCCUACCAUGGAAUAGUUUAUUACAUCACCACCUACAGAGAUGAACAACACUAGAUGUUUCCAACUCUCUAAGAGGCCAAGAAGUAUUAACCCAAGGUCAGAUUCAGGUAAUUGAUCGUGACUCAUGAAUUUCAGAGAUCCCCAAUGGUUAUUUUUAAAUUUUCAGCAGUUACGUCUUUUUCUCUGGGGAGAGGGUAUUUAAAGCUUCUCACGCAGCCAUUCUGGAACUACCUCUACCCUCCUGCCCCCUGCCCCGAAAACAGUUUACAGAAAUAGGUGUCCGGACCGUGGGCUGUAGUUCACCAACUCCUGCUCUAGCCUAAUUUUGUCUCGUUACUAGAGCAUGGACAUUCUGUGGAUACUGGUGAAGCUUUUCUGGGGUUUCUCUCCAAUGCCUUUUAAAGCUUUUUCCUACACAGACACAGAGUACUGUUUAGCCCAAAAUUUAAGAUAAUUCCUCCAGACAUCUGGAGUUCUUGUGCAGCUUCCUCCUCUCUGGUGGUCUUUCCUUGAAAAUUCUAGCUGCCUCAGCCCCUGCUGAUUUUGUAACCUGUUUCCGCAACUCAAACUUUGCCAUGUUCUGUUGCUCUGUUCCCCACUCUGUGUGUGCAGAAAUUGCCCUCAUGUUUUGGUGCUUUGGCAGAAUCACAGUUCUGUGCUGCCUGCUUUCCAGUGGCUGAAUACAAUUGUUUCGUAUAUCCUGUGAAUUUGUGUUACUUGUAUACAGCAGGAUGCCAAAGGCGAUUGGAUUCUAUGAAGUGAUCACGUCACAGAGAACCUGCCGAUAGAGGUGGAGAGAGCCACACAGAGAGCCGCCUGCCUCGGCUGCCUGCUCUUCCGUUGAUUCUGCCAUGAGCCCCAUAUUCACCUACUUCACAAUCCUUUGUCUCCUGGCUGCGGGUAAGUUCCUGUUCUGCAAUCGUCAGCUCCCUGCUCUAAGCCUUUCAUCCAUGUCAUCAAACUCCCUCAUGGGCUCAGUCUCUAACUUCCGUCUGCUUUCUUUACAGGUUCUCCCGGUGAAGAAGUCACCCAGACUCCAAAACAUCUUGUCAAAGGGGAAGGAGAGAAAGCAAAAUUAUAUUGUGACCCAAUAAAAGGA
This is a non-coding RNA of Cercocebus atys (sooty mangabey), 7503 nucleotides long. Lineage: Eukaryota; Metazoa; Chordata; Mammalia; Primates; Cercopithecidae. The record is from the annotation of a RefSeq genome assembly.